AUGGCGUCACCGCUGGGUCACCAUCACUGUCACCACCACGUCAACGUCACCGUCACCACUGUGUCCCUGUCACAACGCUGUCACCGUCUGGUCACCAUUGUGUCACCAUCACUGUGCUGUCACCCUUGUCACCAUCAUUGCGCUGUCACCAUCCUUGUGGUGUCACCGUCACCACGGUGUCACCAUCACUGCGGUGUCACCAUUGUCCCCGUGGUGUCACCAUCCUGGUGGUGUCACCAUUGUCACCAUUGUCCCCACGGUGUCACCAUCCUUGUGGUGUCAGCACCACUGUGGUGUCACCAUUGUCCCCGUGGUGUCACCAUCCUGGUGGUGUCACCAUUGUCACCAUUGUCCCCACGGUGUCACCAUCAUGGUAGUGUCAGCAUCACUGUAGUGUCCCCAUUGUCCCCAAGAUGUCACCAUCCUGGUGGAGUCACCAUUGUCCCCACUGUGGUGUCACCAUCAUGGUGGUGUCACCAUUGUCCCCACGGCAUCACCAUCACUGUGGUGUCCCCACUGUCCCCAUGGUGUCCCCACUCUGGUGUCACCAUUGUCCCCAAGAUGUCACCAUCCUGGUGGUGUCACCAUUGUCCCCAUGGCUGUGGUGUCACCAUCAUGCUGGUGUCCCCAUUGUCCCCAUUGUCCCCAUGGCAUCACCAUCACUGUGGUGUCCCCAUUGUCACCAUCAUGAUAGUGUCUCCAUUGUCCCCAAGAUGUCACCAUCCUGAUGGUGUCACGAUCAUGGCGGUGUCACCAUUGUCCCCAUUGUCCCCAUGUUGUCACUAUGGUGGUGUCCCCAUGGCCAUGGUGUCCCCAUUGUCCCCAAGAUGUCACCAUCAUGGUGGUGUCCCCAUUGUCCCCAUGGUGUCACCACGGUGGUGUCACCAUCAUGCUGGUGUCCCCAUUUUCCCCAUUGUCCCCAUGGCCGUGGUGUCCCCAUUGUCUCCACUGUGUCACUAUCACUGUGGUGUCUCCACUGUCCCCAAGAUGUCACCAUCACUGUGGUGUCACCAUUGUCCCCAAGAUGUCACCAUCUCGGUGGUGUCCCCAUUGUCCCCAUGGUGUCACCACGGUGGUGUCACCAUCAUGCUGGUGUCCCCAUUGUCCCCAUUGUCCCCAUGGUGUCCCCAUACAAUGUCCCCAAGGGGAUCCUUGAGGUGUCCCCAGUGGGCUGAAGCGUUCCCAGUGGGUCCACAAAUGGGCUCAAAAUGUCUCCAAGGGGUCCCCAAGAUGUCCUCAAAUGGGAUGAAAUGUCCCCAAAUGGGCUCCAAUGGUCCCCAAAUGGGCUGAAAUGUCCCCAAGGGGUCCCCAAAUGUCCCCAAGUGGGCUGAAAUGUCCCCAGGGGGUCCCUAGAUGGGUUCAGAUGUCCCCAGGGUGUCCCCAUACUGUCCCCACAUGGGCUCAAAUGUCCCCAUGCUGUCCCCAAAUGGGAUGAAAUGUCCCCAAGGGGUCCCCAGAUGUCCCCAGAUGGGCUGAAAUGUCCCCCAGAAUGUGCCCAAAUGGGAUGAAAUGUCCUCAGAAUGUCCCCAGAUGGGUUCAAAUGUCCCCAGGGUGUCCCCAAAAUGUCCCCAAAUGGGAUGAAAUGUCCCCAAGGGGUCCCCAGAUGUCCCCACAUGGGCUGAAAUGUCCCCAGGGUGUCCCCAGAUGGGUUCAAAUGUCCCCAGGGUGUCCCCAUGCUGUCCCCACAUGGGAUGAAAUGUCCCCAAGGGGUCCCCAAAUGUCCCCAAGUGGGCUGAAAUGUCCCCAGGGGGUCCCCAGAUGAGUUCAAAUGUCCCCAGGGUGUCCUCAAGGUGUCCCCAAAUGGGCUCAAAUGUCCCCAGAAUGUCCCCAAAUGGGAUGAAAUGUCCCCAUGGUGUCCCCAAAAGGGGGGACACCGCCCAUAGUGCUCCUUAAUCACCCUACAGUGCCUCCAAAGUGUCCCCACAUGUCCCCAGAUCACCCAUAGUGUCCCUAUGGUGUCCCCAAAUGCCCCCAUAGUGCCCCCAAAUCACCCUACUGUGCCCCCAAAUCACCCCAUACUGUCCCCAAAUGUCCCCAUAGUGUCCCCAAAUGGGCUGUAAUGCCCCCAUAGUGUCCCAAAUGUCCCCAGAUCACUCCACGCUGUCCCCAUCAUGUCCCCAUAACGACCCCAUACGGGCUGCAAUGUCCCCAAACGCCUCCAAAUGUCCCCAAAUCACCCCAUACUGUCCCCAAAUGCCCCCAUAGUGCCCCCAAAUGGGCUGUAAUGCCCCCAUAGUGUCCCCAAAUGUCCCCAAAUCACCCCAUACUGUCCCCAUACUGUCCCCAUAGU
RNAcentral lists this long non-coding RNA (2290 nucleotides) under Phasianus colchicus (ring-necked pheasant). Its description in RNAcentral is "lncRNA (ENSPCLG00000017585.1)". Lineage: Eukaryota; Metazoa; Chordata; Aves; Galliformes; Phasianidae. The record is from RNAcentral.